This 180-nucleotide ribosomal RNA is filed under the name uncultured Glomeromycotina. Its description in RNAcentral is "partial small subunit ribosomal RNA". The record is from RNAcentral. Lineage: Eukaryota; Fungi; Glomeromycota.
GGCCUGGCGGGAUGGUCCGCCUUACGGUGUGUACUGUCCGGCCGGGCCUUACCUCUUGGUGAGGCCGCAUGCCCUUCACUGGGUGUGUGGUGGAACCAGGAACUUUACCUUGAGAAAAUUAGAGUGUUCAAAGCAGGCAUACGCCCGAAUACAUUAGCAUGGAAUAAUAGAAUAGGACGU